UACGGGUGAGGCGAGCGUUGUUCGGAAUCACUGGGCUUAAAGCGCGUGUAGGCGGCGAUGUAAGUACUUUGUGAAAGCCCUUCUCUCAAAGGAGGAAUUGCUUGGUAUACUGCAUUGCUUGAGGCAGGUAGGGGUGCUUGGAACUCUAGGUGGAGCGGUGAAAUGCGUAGAUAUCUAGAGGAACGCCGGUGGCGAAAGCGGAGCACUGGGCCUGUCCUGACGCUGAGACGCGAAAGCGUGGGUAGCAAACGGG
Molecule: ribosomal RNA, 253 nt
Filed under: uncultured bacterium
Lineage: Bacteria
Description: partial 16S ribosomal RNA
Rfam family: Bacterial small subunit ribosomal RNA
Source: RNAcentral